RNAcentral lists this long non-coding RNA (1092 nucleotides) under Homo sapiens (human). Its description in RNAcentral is "non-protein coding lnc-JRK-1:11". The record is from RNAcentral. Lineage: Eukaryota; Metazoa; Chordata; Mammalia; Primates; Hominidae.
UCAGGAUUGCAAGCAGUGCGAGGGCCUGGUCUCGGCCCUGGUCUCAGCCCUAUCCAGAUGUCCGAGGCAGAUGGACCACCCGCUGAGCGUCAGAAAUGGGUCCCUCGGUGGCUGCUUUUGUGACCGUGUGUUUCAGAAGAGGAAGCUGCGGCUGUGGGGGUGACUGAACCCGGGACCCUGGGUCGGGAGGGUCCCACCUCAAGCAGAGCAGCUCCCUGGGACCCUUGGAAGCUGCAGUGCUGGGACUGGGCCGGAUGUAGACCCCCGGGUCCUCGCAGGACACCCCCAGCACCUCCCCCUUGUGCCCCAAAAACCACUUCUUAGCCUGAGGCUUCCUGUCCCAUGUCUCCCAGCUCCUCAUCAGCAUCUCUGCCCAUCCAUCCGUCAGUCUGUCUACCUGCCCCCUAGGAGCCAGGCCCUGCCCCACGGUGGUGAAGGAGAGUGACUCCGUGCUGCCCCUGCAAGCCCCGGUCACAGGGGACGGCAGGGAACAGGUCGCUGCCUGGUCGUGCCAAGAGCUUCCCUGGAGGAGCGGAGGCUAGGGCAAGAGCCUCACCCCCUUCCUCUCCCUUCCUCCUUCCUUCCCCUCCUCUCCGUGUGCCCUGCAGGUAUCCCUCUGGCCUCCCCGGCUCACCCCUGCUCCCUUCCCUGCUGGGGGCCAGCCAAGGCCUCACCUGGCUGCAGGGCCAAGCCUGCCAUCAACAGGGCAAGCAGCACAGCCUUCGUGGUCACUGGUGGGCUGUGGUGGAGAGGGCCUCAGGUGACUUUAUAUGGCCUCAAAUGGGGAGAGGCUGGACUGCCCACAGUCAACACCAGCGGGUUUCCUGGAGCCAGUGAGGGCCCCGGGGCUGGGCAGGUCCGAGUCUCCUCCCUGAGCGACCUGCACCUCCCUCUCCCUUUGUCCUUCUUUCCACCUCUGGAGGACAGAGCCUACCCAGGGCCAUAUCUCAGCCACCCCGGGCUGAGGGCUGAAACGUCCUCAAGACCCAGAUUAUGCCUCUCCCACCUCCCCCACCUCACAGUGCAAGGCCAGACAAGGGAGACCCUUUCUCCAGACUCCUCCAGGCCUCGGCCUUCCAGCCAAGGAUGAGG